GACUAGAGUUCCACUCGUCCAU
Molecule: microRNA, 22 nt
Filed under: Cordylochernes scorpioides
Lineage: Eukaryota; Metazoa; Arthropoda; Arachnida; Pseudoscorpiones; Chernetidae
Source: RNAcentral